AGCAGUUCUUCUUGCUUCAGUUGCUUUUCAUGAACAAGUAGUUAAGCCUGGUGCAGAAACAGUGAUUACCCUCUCCCUUCUAUCUCAACUGCCCCUUAACGUUGAAAUUGAUCAAUUAGAAAUCCAAUUUAAUCAGUCGGAGUGUAACUUUGUCAUUGUUAAUGCUCAAAGAUCCCAUUUAGCUGCAAUAUCCUGUUUGCAGCCUGGUCGUCGAGUGGAGACAGCUCCCACCCUGGAACUUCACACAAACAAAUGGCUGCGGCUCACAUACGACGUGAAACCUGAGCAAAGCGGAAAGCUGGAAUGCAUAUAUGUAACUGCAAGAUGGGGUCAACAUUUUACUAUCUGUUGCCGAGCUGAAAGUCCGGCCUCCAUGAGUGAUUUACCCCUAUGGAAAUUUGAAGA
RNAcentral lists this unclassified non-coding RNA (405 nucleotides) under Hevea brasiliensis (rubber tree). Lineage: Eukaryota; Viridiplantae; Streptophyta; Magnoliopsida; Malpighiales; Euphorbiaceae. The record is from RNAcentral.